UAGGAAUAUUGGACAAUGGGCGCAAGCCUGAUCCAGCCAUGCCGCGUGAGUGAUGAAGGCCUUCGGGUUGUAAAGCUCUUUAGCCGACGAAUAUAAUGACUGUAGUCGGAGAAUAAGCCCCGGCUAACUUCGUGCCAGCAGCCGCGGUAAUACGAGGGGGGCGAGCGUUGUUCGGAAUCACUGGGCGUAAAGCGUGCGUAGGCGGCGAUGAAAGUUAGGAGUGAAAGCCCAGGGCUUAACCCUGGAAUUGCUCUUAAUACUCCAUCGCUCGAAUCUCGGAGAGGAUAGCGGAAUUGUCAGUGUAGCAGUGAAAUGCGUAGAUAUUGACAGGAACACCAGUGGCGUAAGCGGCUAUCUGGACGAGUAUUGACGCUGAGGCACGAAAGCGUGGGGAUCAAA
RNAcentral lists this ribosomal RNA (399 nucleotides) under uncultured bacterium. Its description in RNAcentral is "bacterial SSU rRNA". It matches the Rfam family "Bacterial small subunit ribosomal RNA", at positions 356 to 772 of the family's 1533-position model. The record is from RNAcentral.